RNAcentral lists this ribosomal RNA (81 nucleotides) under Brugia malayi. Lineage: Eukaryota; Metazoa; Nematoda; Chromadorea; Rhabditida; Onchocercidae. The record is from RNAcentral.
AUUUGUGACAAUGCCACGUUGAAAGCACGACAUCUCGUCGGGUCUGUCAAGUAAGCACGUUGGGCCUGGGUAGUACUUGGA